Molecule: ribosomal RNA, 273 nt
Filed under: uncultured Ochrobactrum sp.
Lineage: Bacteria; Pseudomonadati; Pseudomonadota; Alphaproteobacteria; Hyphomicrobiales; Brucellaceae
Description: partial 16S ribosomal RNA
Rfam family: Bacterial small subunit ribosomal RNA
Source: RNAcentral
UACGAAGGGGGCUAGCGUUGUUCGGAUUUACUGGGCGUAAAGCGCACGUAGGCGGACUUUUAAGUCAGGGGUGAAAUCCCGGGGCUCAACCCCGGAACUGCCUUUGAUACUGGAAGUCUUGAGUAUGGUAGAGGUGAGUGGAAUUCCGAGUGUAGAGGUGAAAUUCGUAGAUAUUCGGAGGAACACCAGUGGCGAAGGCGGCUCACUGGACCAUUACUGACGCUGAGGUGCGAAAGCGUGGGGAGCAAACAGGAUUAGAUACCCGUGUAGUCC